Molecule: long non-coding RNA, 898 nt
Organism: Mustela lutreola (European mink)
Lineage: Eukaryota; Metazoa; Chordata; Mammalia; Carnivora; Mustelidae
Exons: 5
Source: RefSeq, a predicted model, not a curated record
AGAAGCACCCAGGCAGUCCACAGCCAGGCUGGAGAACACGUAGCCAGGCCCGCUCCCAUGGUCUUAGGUUGCUCCCCUGAGGCCUGGGCAACAAGGAGCAACAAGGCAACGUGGAACAGAUCUGCUGAAUGUGACCCCAAAUGCAGAAGACCGAGGUGUUGACUAGAAGAGCUCUUCGCUAACAACUACUCCAGACCAUAUCAUUAACCAUAUGAACGUAGGAAAGGUAUUAGGCAUAUCAUGUUGGAUUUGGAUGUGACUGUCGCUUUGACUCUAUGGGAUAUGGAACACCCUUCUGGUGAAAGGUCUCUCCAAACCUGGAAUGGUCUACCUUAACACCACCUGUGGUUUUGGCAGUAUAGAGGGGAAAAGAAAGAAAGAAAGAUGCAAAAUGAAGUUUGGCUUCCCUCACAUUCGCACUUUCUUUGAAAUUCAUGUGUUUGUUGAAAAUAGUGUAUCAUCGGGGAGCCUUGGCCAGGCAUGCCUGGCGGUGUCUCUGGCUCCACUGGGAACAACGGGGUGGGGUGGGAGUUCAAGGAACCGAUGUCAGGGAUGGCUGUGAUGUGGGUGUGGAAUAAACCUUUCCCAGCAUACACUAGGUAGUGUUCGUCAAGUUGGUGGCUGUGACCCAUUGGUUUGUCAUGAAAUCUAUUUUAAAGGUCACAUCCAGUCUUUUUAAGCUGGGUAAAAUGGCAUGGAAUAGAAUAGAAACUAUCAGAGCUCACAAUCCAUCCCAUAUGUAAGGAUAAUGAUUUUUUUUUUAAAACUUUGACGUAUAGUGUGCAAUUAUCUGUGUAUGUGCACUGGUUUACAAUGGAAAAUGUACCUCUUUCUAUGGUUAUGGUCAAAGCAUUUGAGGACCACUGAAUUGCAUUUAUUAGCUGCCAAAUAAAAAAUA